GUGCUCACUUCAGCGGCACAUAUAGUAAAAUUGGAAUGAUACAGAGAAGAUUAGCAUGGCCCUGCACGAGAAUGACACGCAAAUUCAUGAAGCAUUCUAUAUUAAA
This 106-nucleotide small nuclear RNA is filed under the name Tupaia belangeri chinensis (Chinese tree shrew). The record is from RNAcentral. Lineage: Eukaryota; Metazoa; Chordata; Mammalia; Scandentia; Tupaiidae.